Molecule: non-coding RNA, 112 nt
Filed under: uncultured Blautia sp.
Lineage: Bacteria; Bacillati; Bacillota; Clostridia; Lachnospirales; Lachnospiraceae
Description: FMN riboswitch (RFN element)
Rfam family: FMN riboswitch aptamer (RFN element)
About the family: The RFN element is a highly conserved domain that is found frequently in the 5'-untranslated regions of prokaryotic mRNAs that encode for flavin mononucleotide (FMN) biosynthesis and transport proteins. This element is a metabolite-dependent riboswitch that directly binds FMN in the absence of proteins.
Source: RNAcentral
UUCUUCGGGGCAGGGUGUGAUUCCCUACCGGCGGUGACAGUCCGCGACCCGUAAUUUACGGCUGAACCGGUGCAAUUCCGGUACCGACAGUAUAGUCUGGACGAGAGAAGAA